AUUGAACGCUGGCGGCAUGCCUUACACAUGCAAGUCGAACGGUAACGGGCCUUCGGGUGCCGACGAGUGGCGAACGGGUGAGUAAUACAUCGGAACGUGCCCGAUCGUGAGGGAUAACGAGGCGAAAGCUUUGCUAAUACCGCAUACGAUCUACGGAUGAAAGCCGGGGACCGCAAGGCCUUGCGCGGACGGAGCGGCCGAUGGCGGAUUAGGUAGUUGGUGGGAUAAGAGCUUACCAAGCCGACGAGCUGUAGCUGGUCUGAGAGGAUGAUCAGCCACACGGGGAGUGAGACACGGCCAAGACUCCUAAGGGAGGCAGCAGUGGGGAAUUGUGGACAAUGGGCGCAAGCCUGAUCCAGCCAUGCCGAGUGCAGGAUGAAGGCCUUCGGGUUGGAAACUGCUUUUGUACGGAACGAAAAGCCUUCUUUUAAUACAGGAGGGUCAUGACGGUACCGUAAGAAUAAGCACCGGCUAACUACGUG
This 482-nucleotide ribosomal RNA is filed under the name uncultured bacterium. RNAcentral's name for it is "partial 16S ribosomal RNA". It matches the Rfam family "Bacterial small subunit ribosomal RNA", at positions 29 to 507 of the family's 1533-position model. The record is from RNAcentral.